UUGCCACAUCAGUUUAAUUUGCGAAUACCAAAGUUUCGAUAGGAGUUUCACCCCUGUAAAACUACUCUGUAGUUCUGAUAAGAGUUUCAGCUGGUUUUACAUCUGUUAAAAUACUCUGUGGUGUAUAUUAACAUUUCUCAAAGUUGGAGUAAACUGGGUUGUGGUUUGGUGAAUGGUGUUGUGAUCAAUUUUGUGGUUAUUUGGACGAAAAAAAUUGCUUAAAAAUGAUGCAAUUUAUGCUAUUGUUCAGUCGUCAAGGAAAGUUGCGUUUGCAAAAGUGGUAUGUGGCCCAUCCUGAUAAAUUAAAAAAAAAAAUUACACGAGAAUUAAUUACUACAAUAUUGGCAAGAAAGCCCAAAAUGUCAAGUUUCUUAGAAUGGAAGGAUGUUAAAGUUGUCUACAAAAGGUAUGCGAGUUUAUAUUUCUGUUGUGCAAUAGAACAGAAUGACAAUGAAUUACUUACCUUAGAAAUCAUACACCGCUAUGUUGAAUUGUUGGACAAGUACUUUGGAAGUGUAUGCGAAUUAGAUAUAAUUUUCAAUUUUGAAAAAGCAUACUUCAUCUUAGAUGAAUUAUUGGUUGGCGGCGAAAUUCAGGAGACUAGCAAAAAGAACGUGUUGAAAGCCAUAGCAGCUCAGGAUUUACUACAGGAGCUUUGUGUAUCCAUACAAGUAUACAUAUACUCAGUUAUAUGAAAAGGGUUCAGUUCACCAUUUGAAGCUGCAUCACGGAGGUUACUUAAUUACGAAGUAGGAGGAAACUCCACAGGGAUUCUUUGAGGACCACGGUUUGGGAUAAUACUUUCUAGACAAUAUAUCGGACUUAACGUAAGUGGUUCUUGUGUCACAACUCCAACAUUCCAGAAUUACAUUUACUAUAAACUAUGUUGACUAUAGUUAAGAGUAUAGUACUGCACAGAUCUUAAUAAAUAAGGAUUAGUUUUUCAUAUUAAAUUUAUGCUUAUAUACAAUGACCAGAAAUGGAAUUUUAUUAUGCUGUUCUCUCUCAAUAACGGGGUUGAAAUGGAUACCACGAGAAUAAAUAAUUAUAACUACUUUUUGAAAACCAAUGAAAUUUAGUAUUUCGUACAUACCGAAGUAUAGAUGCUUCUUCACAUUGUUGAAAUACCAGCAGUACUAUGCUACAUAUAUACUACAUGUUUUUCCAUGAUAACGUUAUUUAACCCUCUGUAUAUCAAAAUGCCAGUGAAUUUGUUGUAACUAAUUCUAGUAUUUAUAUUCCAGUCUCGUAUAUUUUAAUCGCAGUUACCUUUGCAUUUUAAGGAUUAAACUAUUUACUGUUAAACAUUGUACGUACAAUACUUCAAAUAAUAUUGCAAUAAGAACAAUAAUAUUAUGAUGCAAUAUAAUUUUUAAGCAACAUAAUCCUCAAUUAUACAAUAGCGUUUUGUAACAUGAAUGAAUAAACCAGAAUCACAACUGUAUACUGCACCAUAAAUUUUUGUCGAAAUAAUUAAGAAUUUAAAAAUUAGUCGUACAUUAAAGUUGAUGCAUAAAGGGUUAAAUAAUGAAUGUUCGAUAAUAUUAUUAUAUACAUAUGUAAGGUGCUUAUUGAAUUUUCACUUACACUUAGUUACUUUGUUAAACCAAACUACAUAUAAGUAUUACAAAACUUACCGCAUUUAAUUAAUCGUUAAUCACUAGUUAUAUUUUUACAUCUUGUGUAUAAAUAGUUAUUAGUCACCUCAAGAUUAACAUUUUUACGCGUAUUGCUCAAAAGCAACUGUAUCAUACAAAUACAAGCGAACUAAAAUUAAAAGAAGUAUAAAACAUUUCUCAAUUAGAAAUGAAUCAAAUAAUAAUAAUUGCAUUAAAAUUUUAUAUGAACAAAAUCAAUUGUAAUAUUAGUAGACUGAUUAAAAUUCGAAGGAUCCAUUUUGUAUUAACUGCAGUUUGGGACGCUUCCGACAAUUGUUAGAAUACUUUGUUGUAAUAAAGAACAAACUGGAAAAUACCACUGUUAAAUUAUGAUUCUUGUUAAGAGAUACGUAAAAAGUAGUCAAAAAUUUUAAGAAUUAUAUCUAUAAUUCUUUUAUACUCUAUAUUUCUUGAUUUCAAUGUUCUGCAAACAGUUCAUUUUAAAAGGGUGUAAAAAACACACAGAAUGAUUGAGCUAUUGAAAAAAGGAGUAGUGCAAGUCAUACUAAUAAAGAUGACUUAAUUUUUCAACUCACUUAUAGAAAAUUUUCCCAAACGAUUAUAUGAAUGUUUUAUUCGACUGUUUAUAUAUUGGAGAUAUCUAUCGAUGAUACUAGUUUCGAUAAAAUAAUACCUAAAAAUAUUCCAACGCAGUUUGUUACAGAAAUAUCCAUGUUCCUGUUAAUUAUCAUUAUCAUAGCAAAGUAUUUUUGCGAGUUUUGAUCGCGCUAAUCAUUCCUAUCCAUUGUGAAGAAAAGAUGAAAACGAUAUUAGAGGAAAUUUGCAUAAGGACAAUAAGUUUAAACAGUGUUGAAUGUUCGUUCAUAGUAUUGAUACAACUAACGCAAGAGCAUGUGUUAUACAUAUCUGAAUAUAUAUUCGCAAUCCACUUGUUUUAUAGGAUAUUUUAAACGUAAAUAUGUAAGUUGUUACUGAUAGUUUAUUUCUGACUUUUUAAUAUUACGAAGAAAUUGAUCAGUUUCUGAUUUUCUACCGCUUUGUAUCUAAGGGAGGUUCCUUGAACGACCAUUUUUUUGUUUAUAAUCGAAAUUACGAAAUAUUAUUGAAAAUUCUACGUACUUUUUUGAACUGUCGUUGAUUGCAAAAGUACGUUUUUAUAGUCUGAAAAUAUUUGCAGUAUUCUGUAGAAUUUCUAGGCAAUAUGCAAAUUUGUAAAUUGAAUUUAGAGUCUUGGAAUUAAAAUUAAGAAAAGGGAUGAAGAUUUAAUGUUUCAUUUGAUUAUUUUCUAAUAAAAGUACAUGUCAAUUCAAACUGAUGUGAGAUAUAAAUGGAAUUUAAUUUGUAACUUAUAAUAUUCUCGUAAGGAAAUUAUUAACCAGAUAAAGCAUAUUGCCGAGAGAUUAUACUUGGAUUUCAUUUUAGGUAAAAUGGCUAUGUUUAGAUAAAGUACAUCGUGUAUUUGCGUUUAAAUAUUUAUUAGUGGUGCAUAUAAAGCAUAAAUAUUCCACUAUCUUGUGGACUUUAUCUACUUUUAUAUACGAUGUACUAUUAUUAUUAUAUGGUACACCAAACCUGUGCAUUUACAAAACAACGUUAUAUCAUUUCAGCUGGUACGAAGUCAUCGUUUCUUAUCUCAAAUAAAUCGAUAUUUUUGUUAUUUUCGAAUAAAAUUAAAAUUAAAAAAAAAAUUGAAACAUUGCUUCAAAUGUUUAUUUCCUAUUUCAGAUCAAAUUUGCCCAGGUUUGCGAAAUGCCAUAGCGUUUACUAUCUUCUUAUUAAUUUAAUCCUUAUCUCUGAAAUAUCUCCUCGAUAAUGUUAUGUUGUUCUUUCAUGCAAUCAAAAUUAGCAAUUAAGUGCCCGAGUCUGUUAGAACCUGUCGUACCAGGUUAUUAAACAGGAUUAAGAACAAUACCAAUGUUAUACCAUAUGAACGCGAUAAGUAUAUGAAUGUUGUAUUGAAAAGACGAUGCUUUGUGCUCCGUCCAUAAUAAACUGUGUAAUUCAAAAUAA
RNA transcript from Hylaeus volcanicus, 3629 nucleotides. It is a transcript of the gene named AP-1 complex subunit sigma-2, with no coding region annotated. The transcript has 6 exons. The record is from RefSeq and is a predicted model, not a curated record. NCBI's taxonomy places the organism in Eukaryota, Metazoa, Arthropoda, Insecta, Hymenoptera, Colletidae.